This 119-nucleotide ribosomal RNA is filed under the name Microcebus murinus (gray mouse lemur). Lineage: Eukaryota; Metazoa; Chordata; Mammalia; Primates; Cheirogaleidae. The record is from RNAcentral.
GUCUAGGGCCACACCACCCUGAACGCCCCCGAUCUCGUCUGGUCUCGGAAGCUAAGCAGGGUCGGGCCUGGUUAGUACUUGGAUGGGAGACCGCCCGGAAUACCGGGUGCCCGUAGGGC